GCGAAUAUGUAGGUUGAGAAAAGAAGUAAAGAAAGAACCCGAUUUACCAGUUGAAACAAUCAAUAAACCAGAUCCCAGACAAUCGCAUCAAACUUACUUAGUCGAACGAUCGAAUAAUCGAAUAAUCGAAUAAUCGAAUUAUAUUUCCGAAAACAACCGAUAGAGCGCACGUCCAACAUUAAAUCAAUCAAUUAAGGCGCGUUAAGGAGCGAUGUGCAAAACCAAUAGUUGUCAUAUAAACGUAAUAGCCAUUCAACACCAAUCGAGCAUUAAACAAACAACAAAUGAUACUAGCCAUAGAAGCUUAAAACAGACAGAAGAAAACAUACCAACAAGAAGGCCCCGAUUAGGUCUGAAAAUAGGGCUGAAGAAUAAUUAAGGGCUGAAGAACAACCCGUGCAACCCAUGCAACCGUCACCCCGGUAUAUUAUCGGCAAGAAAACAGGAAAACAGGGAAACAUCAAGAAAAACAUCAAACCCAGCCUAAUGCAGCCUAAUGGUGACAAUUGCAGCAACCUUGUUCACCUUGGUAAUUUCAAUAUAUAUUAAGAAAUUAAGAGGAUAAUUGAAGCGUUGAGGCACCCAGUAAUGGCAAUAAGCUGGUCAACCAAUUAUACCAUGCGGAAUCGAGUGGAGAAAGGCCCCACAAUUCGGCCGGCAUCUGUAGCAGGUCAGGGGUAUGUAUAAAAUAUAGAAAUCAUGACCGACUCUGUGUCCAACGUGACUUAAUGCAAACACAUCAGGAAUGAAGACUGCCAUGACAACUCGGCCCCCAUCAGCAAAACAGAAGACAGGAGACUACAAAACGAGAGCCUGAUAUAACAGUUGUAACGCCCAUGGAGGCAAACAUCAAGAUCACAUAGGAAGGAAAGAGGAAAGCUAACAUGAAAUUGAUAUGACUCAACUGGACCAUGAUGCUGCUGGCGUCAGUCCAGGGAUCCAGCAGCGGCCAAAGGAUUUCAUCCAGACAAGCAGAAAUGCUACUUACUGAAAAUUUAUGAAGUUUACAAGACUAAGGGUAGCAGGCACAUUGACUGGCAACCUGAGUCCGACCGAGCCGCCAGAUGGGCAUAUCAGUUUGCAAGAAAUAAUCAAUAAUGUCAAUAUUUCAGCGCGAUACUUGAAAUGGAGUGCAACAAAAUGUUUAACCAUUAUAAAUAAAAUAAAGCUAAAUAGAUAGAUAACUAAUGGACAAGGAAUCAUUAAAUACUCAGCCGCAAUGAAUGACCAAACCUAGGCCUCGUAUGGGAUUCCGCCAAGAAAUGUACCCAUCAAGAGGACCAAAGGUCGACAACACAAAGUAGGAUAAUAAUAGGACAUUAAUAUAACAGUAACACUGAUGAUGCCGACCGUUAACAGAACACGUCAUAGGCAUUACUCAUGGGGUGAACUUAACUUAAAACCAUAUACUAAACCACCACUUAUCACCAACUAACAAUCAAUCAGUUACAGAGAAUGCCCGCGACAGCCAAAAGAACGAAGUGAAACCAUAAAGGAUGGCCGAUUACCCGUUCAUAGAUGCAGGAAGACGCACUGCCAGCUGCAAGAAGUCCCCUGUCAGCGACAGAACGCCACCGGUACACCAUGAAAUAUAAGUUCAAGAAAUUUAAGAGAGAUAGAUGGAUCAGACCAAAAGCAGCAACCUUGCCCGUUUGCGUCCCCAACCAACCGAGAGACACUCAUACGAGUCCGCAUUAUGACGAUAACAGCUCGCAUAACAAUUAAUCCGACAAAAUCGAACUCACAACCCAAAAGCUCAUGCACUUAUGGACCCAUAAACCUAUAAUUAAUAAAUUAAUAAAUCAAAAUUAACAAGUUCGCAGAUUCAGUGCACUAAUCGCAUUGCAGCAGGCAGCACACUGAUACCAAGCUGUAACCCCGCUUGUUACAUUUAGUAAUGAAAUAAAUAAAUAAAUAAAUAACAGACCAGGCAAGCAACUGACUAUUCGAAAUUAAAUACAGUACAAUGGCAGGAAGAGCCAAGCCGCACACUCCCAAGACCAGCGACAAGCUACAAUCAACGAUGCCUCAAGCGCAUCAUCAAAUACGCAACACAUAUCACACAUCCAAUAACACAAUGCAUACAAACAUGCAGCACGCGCGCGAACAUAAGCAUGCACACCCGUACGCAUAGGGCCAGCAAGGAGAGGGUACCCAACUGAGAUGUCACAGCAGGUAAUCCCAGGCUGGCAUAGAAAGUGACAGAUAAACCAUGGCAAAC
Molecule: long non-coding RNA, 2221 nt
Organism: Osmia bicornis bicornis
Lineage: Eukaryota; Metazoa; Arthropoda; Insecta; Hymenoptera; Megachilidae
Exons: 4
Source: RefSeq, a predicted model, not a curated record